CACCAUCCUUCGAGUCUUUCUUCUCAAAUUUAUCACUAAAAAAUGGUAUCUUUUCUACAUUCUUCACUCUGCUUUUAGUUCCCUUGGUCUCCUUCACAAAGAAAAUUUUAUUUAAAAAAAAAAAAAGAAGCUAACUUCUUCAACGUCUCAUACUUUCUAAAGGCUGGACCUUUUAACAUGUCUCAACCGUUAAUAGGACAACUCCCUUAAGAUCUUGCUCUCUCAAAAUCUAUGAAACCUUUACUUGCAAGGGAACUGUCUUUGGGUGAGGCCAAAUCUUGUUGGUAACAGUUAUGCCGCAUGUAGCAAAUUUCAUCAGCCUCUCAACAUAUAUUACGAACCUCACAGUUUACUCGUAGAGAGUUAAAUAUGAGUUUCUUAAUAAAAUCAAUGCCACUGCAAACAAAUUAGUUCACGAACCUCAACUCGGAGAAUUUUGGAGAGCGAACUUUGGAGAGAAACAUUCACUAAGGCUAUAUGAAGACCACUUGGAGGUUUAAGGUAACUGAUUGCCAGUUACCCUAAAACGUAGGACAUAGCAUCACCAUCACUACCAAGAACAUAAGAUUAGACUUCAAUGUCGAUGACCUUAAGACAAGUAUCCAAAUUUGUUUCCCACUAUAAAAGAGUCAUGUAAACAACUCACAAGGACUAACGGACAUACUCCUUCCUGAUUUUCCUAACUCUCCCCAAAACUUAAAUCUUUCCCUAGCUUUCACCACACCCUCCUUCAUUCAACCAUCAUCUUCCUCCCUUGUUCAUCUUACUAGUUAACAAUUGGUGCGGCGAACGUGUACGAGCAUGACGAAUCUAGGUGUCAUUGAUCCUCCCAGCAUCGAGUUUGAUCCCACCCAUGACCAGAUUAUAGACCCCAUAGGUCGUAACAUUGGAGAAACACAGAUCAAGCUAGAACAACCCAAUAUCCAAACCUCUUCCAUGAAAAUCAGCAUACCAACCUACAAGAUCAAGCCAAUCCUAAAACCAAAACCAAUAAAAUACGUAUCAACAAAACGCAUACCAACAAUUCUAUCAGUACCCCCCAUGGUAUUACAAUCCUAAUAAUCAACAUCACACCAGAGCAUCACCAACCGACCAAGAAUCUCAGCAUCAUUAGUUCGAUGGUCAACAAUAUCUGAACAUACAAGAGAGGAUAAGAGCCAUGGAGGAGCAAAUUAACUCUCAGCAAAAAGGAUACGAAGAACAUCAAAAGUUUAUCCAAGAGCAAAUCAAUAGACAAAGGCAAGUAGAUGAAAGAAAUGAAAGAAACGUAAAGCUUAUCGAUGAGUUAAGAGCAGACAUGAGGAAUUGAGAUCAAAACCCAAGGCGUGGAGGGGAUGAACCUACCCAUUCCAAUUGCGAUCAUCAACAUGCAAACCAAUGUAAUGAAAAUGUGGUAGAUGAUGUUGAUAUGGAUGAUAGUUAUGAUGAAGAUUAUGAUGAUAGUUAUAACUACUCUGGUAAGAAUACUUUAGAAGAAAAAAUGGUGAAAGGAUAGAAAAGCAUUUACAGGAUUUUUAGAAAGGUG
Molecule: long non-coding RNA, 1525 nt
Filed under: Gossypium raimondii (Peruvian cotton)
Lineage: Eukaryota; Viridiplantae; Streptophyta; Magnoliopsida; Malvales; Malvaceae
Description: long non-coding RNA (GRAI_LNC007266)
Source: RNAcentral